RNAcentral lists this long non-coding RNA (636 nucleotides) under Homo sapiens (human). RNAcentral's name for it is "HSALNT0319484". Lineage: Eukaryota; Metazoa; Chordata; Mammalia; Primates; Hominidae. The record is from RNAcentral.
GGAGGGGCGUGGACCCAAGAAGUCCCUGUGCGCUUGCGCAGAGACCGAACUACCGCUUUCCCCGUAACCAGGGAGACUGCAGUUUGCAGUGAUGUGGCUAAGAUACCCUUGUGCUAUUAAAGGCACAUUUACGUAUCUUUCAACGCAGUUUGUACCUUUGUUUAGGGUUCUAUUGAACUUUCUCUGUGCUCUUUAGAAAACCGUCGAAUAAAGAACUCAAAUGAUGCUGUUUUUGGACAGGGAGGUCAUGGACCAAGUACAAAGCGGCAAAAGGAUGGAAUUAAGGGAUAUUUCCAGUGAAAGAAAGAAGAAAGCAUGCUUUUCUCUUGACUGUGCAGAAAAAAAAACUAUGUUUCUUUGAUUCUCCAUUUUACUAGAUGCCAUACCUUUGCAAUUACUUCAUGUGGAGUCUUGACCAAGAUUCAGGAAAUACUAGAACUUUCAGUCCCAGAAGGUUACUCUGGGCAUUACUAGUCCCCAUCAUUAUGAGUUGAGUUUUACUAGUUAAUUUCAGACGAAAAAUAUUUGUUUUUCCCCAAAUUCUGGGGUUACGUACUUUUACUACCUAUGAACUGACAACUGUAUCUUCAGUAAUUACAAUUUCCAACAAAAUGUUAUAGGAAUAAAGAAAAGAUG